UCCGGCGUGGCGCAAUUGGCUAGCGCGUCUGACUGUUAAUCAGGAGGUUGGAAGUUCGAGCCUUCCCGGCGGAG
This 74-nucleotide transfer RNA is filed under the name Collariella sp. IMI 366227. Its description in RNAcentral is "tRNA-Asn". It matches the Rfam family "tRNA". From Rfam's summary of the family: Transfer RNA (tRNA) molecules are approximately 80 nucleotides in length. The record is from RNAcentral. Lineage: Eukaryota; Fungi; Ascomycota; Sordariomycetes; Sordariales; Chaetomiaceae.